Molecule: ribosomal RNA, 459 nt
Filed under: uncultured bacterium
Lineage: Bacteria
Description: partial 16S ribosomal RNA
Rfam family: Bacterial small subunit ribosomal RNA
Source: RNAcentral
CCUACGGGAGGCAGCAGUGAGGAAUAUUGGUCAAUGGGCGGAAGCCUGAACCAGCCAAGUAGCGUGCAGGAUGACGGCCCUAUGGGUCGUAAACUGCUUUUGCACGGGGGUAACACCCUCCACGUGUUGAGGUCUGCAAGUACCGUUCGAAUAAGGGCCGGCUAAUUCCGUGCCAGCAGCCGCGGUAAUACGGAAGGCCCGAGCGUUAUCCGGUUUUAUUGGGCUUAAAGGGAGCGUAGGCGGGCGUUCAAGUCAGCUGUAAAAUCUCGGGGCUCAACCGCGCCCCGCAGUUGAUACUGUACGCCUUGAGAUCACAACAGGCAGGCGGAAUUCGUGGUGUAGCGGUGAAAUGCAUAGAGAUCACGAGGAACCCCGAUUGCGAAGGCAGCCUGCCGGGGUGCGACUGACGCUGAGGCUCGAAGGUGCGGGUAUCAAACAGGAUUAGAUACCCUUGUAGUC